AUUGAACGCUGGCGGCAUGCCUUACACAUGCAAGUCGAACGAGGGUAGCAAUACCUUAGUGGCGAACGGGUGAGUAAUAUAUCGGAACGUACCCUAGAGUGGGGGACAACCAGUCGAAAGACUGGCUAAUACCGCAUACGAUCUCUGGAUGAAAGUGGGGGACCGCAAGGCCUCACGCUCCUGGAGCGGCCGAUAUCUGAUUAGCUAGUUGGUAGGGUAAAAGCCUACCAAGGCAUCGAUCAGUAGCUGGUCUGAGAGGACGAUCAGCCACACUGGGACUGAGACACGGCCCCGACUCCUACGGGAGGCAGCAGUGGGGAAUUUUGGACAAUGGGGGAAACCCUGAUCCAGCAAUGCCGCGUGAGUGAAGAAGGCCUUCGGGUUGUAAAGCUCUUGUGUCAGGGAAGAAAAGGCUAUGGCUAAUAUCCAUGGCUGAUGACGGUACCUGAAGAAUAAGCACCGGCUAACUACGUGCCAGCAGCCGCCGUAA
RNAcentral lists this ribosomal RNA (490 nucleotides) under uncultured bacterium. RNAcentral describes it as "partial 16S ribosomal RNA". It matches the Rfam family "Bacterial small subunit ribosomal RNA", at positions 30 to 523 of the family's 1533-position model. The record is from RNAcentral.